ACUAAACACAGUACAAAAACAGACACCCCAAAACAUGACUAAAAGUAAACAAAGACCAAACAAGCCAAGAUGAUAACCUUCUACUAUUUGUUUCUCCAUAACAAGCCAAUCUAUUUCUAGGUCUGGCCUCCCACGGAUCUGAAGCAACAUGUGACUCCAUUCAAGCAGCAAUACAAAGUUGUGGCAGUGCAUGCAGGGAGGCAAAGCAAGUUCAGGAACAAAAGGAGACUUCUCUAAGACUGAAUGACAGAAAUAGAUUUAGUAAUGAAGUAUCAACACAUGAUAUGUGUGAGGCAGAAUAUGAAGAUCUGAAACAUUUUCAGUUAUGGUGCCCAGAAUACCGAGAGGAAAGAAGAAAAAGUGAAAGACUGCAACAACCAUAUAGAGAAGAGGGCAUUAUAGGAAUGCACCUGUUUGAAAAUAAAUAUAGUGAGAAAAUGAAGAGGGCAGUGCAUAAAUUUUGGAUAAUAGGAGAAAAGAAAAGGAAAGAGAAAGAAGAAAGUGGAAGACCCAGACAGUGAGAAGGGAUGCAUCAGGGAGUGCUGUUCCAAAGGCAACAACCACCUAACAACUCAACUCACCUCUUGUGACCACUCCCUAUGAAGCUCUCAGCAACAGGCAAUAGACAGAUGAACAAAUAGGCAUAACCAGACAUCUCUCCAGUCCUCCUCACAAUUUGGCCUUCACAGGGGCCAAACACAAGUCCCUGGGGAAGGUCAGCACUGGUCCACACCCCCAGACCUCCAUCCUCCACCUUGGACUUGGCAAU
Long non-coding RNA from Scylla paramamosain (green mud crab), 769 nucleotides. RefSeq lists it as uncharacterized. Lineage: Eukaryota; Metazoa; Arthropoda; Malacostraca; Decapoda; Portunidae. The record is from RefSeq and is a predicted model, not a curated record. The transcript has 3 exons.